UAUGCUUUUCUCACCAAAUUCCUGAAAUUGAAUCAUUAAAAAUUGUUGUUGGGACUAUUUUGCAUGUCUUUGAAAAUCAUGAAUGGUGGUUAGCGACUUGUUUAUGUGGUUCAGCUGUUUCAGUUGUGAAUGGUGCAGCCUAUUGUGUAAUGUGCCAAAUUGAAUGUGUUGACACUAUACCAAAGUACUCAUUGAAGGUAAUGGUUUCUUAUAGAACUAGAAAUAAUAUCUUUGUCCUUAGAGAUUCUUUAGUUGCACGAAUUUUGAUGAAAAAAUGUGCUGCUCUAUUGGAAGAAAACCCAAUUUCAGGAUAGACUUUGGAUAAGAAGAUUGUUCCAUAGGAUAUUAUUUCUCAUUUGAUUGAAAAAAAGUUUGCAUUCAUCAUUGAUCCCAGAGUUGUUGGAUAUGAGCUGAGUACAGGUGUUUAUAUUGUAAGAGUAUUCACAGAUGAAAGUUCUAUUGUUAAUCUUUUGGAAAGUGUUACUCUGGUAAAUGAUUAAAAGGUCCUUAGAGUUUUUUUAUUAA
Arachis ipaensis is the source of this 525-nucleotide non-coding RNA. The record is from RefSeq and is a predicted model, not a curated record. Lineage: Eukaryota; Viridiplantae; Streptophyta; Magnoliopsida; Fabales; Fabaceae.